RNAcentral lists this unclassified non-coding RNA (166 nucleotides) under soil metagenome. RNAcentral describes it as "partial internal transcribed spacer 1". The record is from RNAcentral.
CAGAGUUGCAAAACUCCCAAACCAUUGUGAACGUUACCCUUACCGUUGCUUCGGCGGGCGGCCCGGGUCCUGCCCGGCGCCCCUCGGCCCUCGCGGGCGCCCGCCGGAGGUAAACCAAACUAUUGCAUUGUAUGGCCUCUCUGAGUCUUCUGUACUGAAUAAGUCA